CAAAGUUAAUUUACAAAAAAAGGGGGAAAUACGAUUACAGAAUCAAUACAUUUUGGAUGUUUGUUGUAUAUCACGACUUGUUUGAAUAUAUAGAGUUAUCAAAAGUUAUAUAAUAUAUUGUUAACAUAUAUUAUUUAACCGCAGAGGACAGUCUAGUGAUCUGCCUGAAACUACAAUGAAUAGUUCAGUGAAAAGAUGUAAUAUGAAGGAAGGAAAGUAUGUUAAAAUAAAAGGCUACGAAUUAGAAAGAAAUAUACAAAAGCAGUGAUUGGAAUGAGAAACAGGGCCAAAUAAUUAUAACUAAAUGGAAAGAAUGAUACUUUUUAAAAGUAGGAAAUGCAGUUUGGUUGGUAUGUAAACAAAUAAACAAAUAACUAUAGAAUGCGAUGCAGUUUCAGAGAGAGUUAUCAUUUUACAGGUGGAAGGAAGAGGAGAGGAGAAGACGUUCUGAUCGCGCCAUAUGCGAUUUACGACCACGAUGACGAUUCAUUGAUGCAGUGAUAAUGGCGGAGUACUAAUUUAUUUAAUUUGAUUAGGGGGGGGGGCAAUAUAUAUUUUGCCCAUAGCGACCUAAACAGAAUAAGUCAAUUGUAACUCGAAUUCUGUUUUCAGAUUAAGUCAACGUGUGUAAAUAUGAUUAGCCUUUGUUUUUAGCUCUGUAUAUACAUUUUGAUAAUUAUUUAAUUAUGCUUUUAAUGAUGAACCUUCGGAAUAACAAACAUUAAAUUUCGGAAUUAUGAAUCUGCAGAAAAAGGACAUGAUAGCAAGAUAGAGUGGAAUAUUUUGUAGCCUCUCUUUUCAACCAAAAGAUUUGGAAUAGAGGAAUGGUGCUGAAAUCGAGAUUUCUAAUUCCGUUUCGAGAGCUUUCAUUCUAGCUCUUUCCUAUAAUUACUGUUAUAGCCGCAGAAUGAACACGUAUUCAAAAUGCAUUGCAAUUUUCAAUUUUACCAGGGGUACGACAACAAUGAAGCGAGGUAACAGGUAACGACCACGACGGCUACUAAGUCACGACUACGAUGGUGGUGAGCAAGCGAUUACGAGACUGAUAGCGCCCACGGUGGUAACCAGCGAGGGAAGAAGGGCGGCGACCAGCCUCGCUACCAGGGUGAUGGCAACCAGAGCAAUGAACAAGAUGGAGCCGACCAGGGCGACGGCAUGGACGGCAACCGGAGUUUGACCACGGUGAAGACGACCGAGCCGGAGAAGACGUCCAGAGGGACGGCGACCAGCAGGGUGAUAGCUACGGAGAUAUACAAGAUGAUACACCCUUUGUCUCUUCGCUGCUAAGAAGACGACGAGUUAACUGUCAUCUUAGAUGCCUCGCAGAGAUACAACUUAAGUCUUCAGAUUGAACUUUAAAAAAAAUUAAAAACACGACGUUGCAAGGUAAAGCUGAUUGUUAUGCAAACAUGAGCUACAAGCUAGAUGACAUCCAUGUCAAUGACAGCUGCUCGUCAUCAAAAAAAAUAUCAGGACUUUGACGCCCACUCAUGAACAAAGGAGAAGCCAAAAAUGGAAAUGAAUUUGAAAGAAAACUUUGAAUCUUGCUCAACCAAGUUAACGUCAUAAACUGUUGCAUGAAAGAGGAUUGUGCAUAAUUUAUUUACAAUGAUGUAUAUCUUAUCUAAAAAUUCUAGACGUCGGAGGCAGUAUUAAUUGAGAGAGAAUAACAUUGUACUAUGUGAUUUAUAUAUUGCACUCUGCAUAGAUGCAUUACAUUAUUUAAAUAUUUUGUUAACAAUUUAGUACUGAUACUAAUUUUACGCAGACUAUCCGAAUUGCUUAUCCGUAUGCCAUGGUUAUGAGAUGUAUAAUUACUAUUGCCUUGUAAGUUGCAUUUUUCUAUGACAUGUUUUAAUCAACAGCGCUGCUAACUAUAAUACUGCUGUUGCUGCCAACUAAUACUGAUGCUGCUGUUAACU
Molecule: long non-coding RNA, 1922 nt
Filed under: Strongylocentrotus purpuratus (purple sea urchin)
Lineage: Eukaryota; Metazoa; Echinodermata; Echinoidea; Camarodonta; Strongylocentrotidae
Description: uncharacterized LOC105447367
Source: RNAcentral